UGGGGAAUUUUGGACAAUGGGCGCAAGCCUGAUCCAGCCAUGCCGCGUGCGGGAAGAAGGCCUUCGGGUUGUAAACCGCUUUUGUCAGGGAAGAAAUCUUCUGAGUUAAUACCUCGGGAGGAUGACGGUACCUGAAGAAUAAGCACCGGCUAACUACGUGCCAGCAGCCGCGGUAAUACGUAGGGUGCAAGCGUUAAUCGGAAUUACUGGGCGUAAAGCGUGCGCAGGCAGUUUUGUAAGACAGAGGUGAAAUCCCCGGGCUCAACCUGGGAACUGCCUUUGUGACUGCAAGGCUUGAGUGCGGCAGAGGGGGAUGGAAUUCCGCGUGUAGCAGUGAAAUGCGUAGAUAUGCGGAGGAACACCGAUGGCGAAGGCAAUCCCCUGGGCCUGCACUGACGCUCAUGCACGAAAGCGUGGGGAGCAAACAGGAUUAGAUACCCUGGUAGUCCACGCCCUAAACGAUGUCAACUAGUUGUUGGGGGAUUCAUUUUCCUUAGUAACGUAGCUAACGCGUGAAGUUGACCGCCUGGGGAGUACGGUCGCAAGAUUAAAAGCUCAAAGGAA
This 564-nucleotide ribosomal RNA is filed under the name uncultured bacterium. RNAcentral describes it as "partial 16S ribosomal RNA". It matches the Rfam family "Bacterial small subunit ribosomal RNA", at positions 355 to 909 of the family's 1533-position model. The record is from RNAcentral.